RNAcentral lists this ribosomal RNA (300 nucleotides) under uncultured bacterium. RNAcentral describes it as "bacterial SSU rRNA". It matches the Rfam family "Bacterial small subunit ribosomal RNA", at positions 29 to 355 of the family's 1533-position model. The record is from RNAcentral.
AACGAACGCUGGCGGCAUGCCUAACACAUGCAAGUCGAACGAGACCUUCGGGUCUAGUGGCGCACGGGUGCGUAACACGUGGGAAUUUGCCUCGGGGUAUGGAAUAAACUCAGGGAAACUUGAGCUAAUACCAUAUAAUGUCUUCGGACCAAAGAUUUAUCGCCCUGAGAUAAAGCCCGCGUAGGAUUAGCUAGUUGGUGGGGUAAAGCUCACCAAGGCGACGAUCCUUAGCUGGUCUGAGAGGAUGAUCAGCCACACUGGGACUGAGACACGGCCCAGACUCCUACGGGAGGCAGCAGU